This 253-nucleotide ribosomal RNA is filed under the name uncultured bacterium. RNAcentral describes it as "partial 16S ribosomal RNA". It matches the Rfam family "Bacterial small subunit ribosomal RNA", at positions 524 to 776 of the family's 1533-position model. The record is from RNAcentral.
UACGGAAGGGGCAAGCGUUGUUCGGAAUCAUUGGGCGUAAAGGGCGCGUAGGUGGCUCUGUAUGUCUACCGUGAAAGCAUACAGCUCAACUGUAUUUUGUCGGUAGAAACUGCAGGACUUGAGGCUGGGAGGGGCUGGUGGAAUUCCGCGUGUAGCAGUGAAAUGCGUAGAGAUGCGGAGGAACACCGAUGGCGAAGGCAGCCCCCUGGGCCGACAUUGACGCUCAGGCACGAAAGCGUGGGGAGCAAACAGG